Molecule: ribosomal RNA, 466 nt
Filed under: uncultured bacterium
Lineage: Bacteria
Description: partial 16S ribosomal RNA
Rfam family: Bacterial small subunit ribosomal RNA
Source: RNAcentral
GACGAACGCUGGCGGCGUGCUUAACACAUGCAAGUCGAACGGAAAGGCCCUGCUUGCAGGGUACUCGAGUGGCGAACGGGUGAGUAACACGUGGGUGAUCUGCCCUGCACUUCGGGAUAAGCUUGGGAAACUGGGUCUAAUACCGGAUAGGAGCCAUCUUUAGUGUGGUGGUUGGAAAGUUUUUUCGGUGUAGGAUGAGCUCGCGGCCUAUCAGCUUGUUGGUGGGGUAAUGGCCUACCAAGGCGGCGACGGGUAGCCGGCCUGAGAGGGUGUACGGCCACAUUGGGACUGAGAUACGGCCCAGACUCCUACGGGGGGCAGCAGUGGGGAAUAUUGCACAAUGGGCGCGAGCCUGAUGCAGCGACGCCGCGUGGGGGAUGAAGGCCUUCGGGUUGUAAACUCCUUUCGCUAGGGACGAAGCUUUUUUGUGACGGUACCUAGAUAAGAAGCACCGGCUAACUACGUG